RNAcentral lists this ribosomal RNA (459 nucleotides) under uncultured bacterium. RNAcentral describes it as "partial 16S ribosomal RNA". It matches the Rfam family "Bacterial small subunit ribosomal RNA", at positions 338 to 795 of the family's 1533-position model. The record is from RNAcentral.
CCUACGGGAGGCAGCAGUGAGGAAUAUUGGUCAAUGGCCGGGAGGCUGAACCAGCCAAGUCGCGUGAGGGAAGACGGCCCUACGGGUUGUAAACCUCUUUUGUCAGGGAGCAAGGUGCAGGUCGGGACCUGCUGUGAGAGUACCUGAAGAAAAAGCAUCGGCUAACUCCGUGCCAGCAGCCGCGGUAAUACGGAGGAUGCGAGCGUUAUCCGGAUUUAUUGGGUUAAAAGGGUGCGCAGGCGGAGGCACAAGUCAGCGGUAAAAUCGCGGGGCUCAACCCCGCUCCGCCGUUGAAACUGUGGCCCUUGAGUGCGCGAAGGGUAGGCGGAAUGCGUGGUGUAGCGGUGAAAUGCAUAGAUAUCACGCAGAACUCCGAUCGCGAAGGCAGCCUACCGGCGCGCAACUGACGCUCAUGCACGAAAGCGUGGGUAUCGAACAGGAUUAGAUACCCCAGUAGUC